Molecule: ribosomal RNA, 722 nt
Filed under: uncultured bacterium
Lineage: Bacteria
Description: bacterial SSU rRNA
Rfam family: Bacterial small subunit ribosomal RNA
Source: RNAcentral
GUUGUAUUGAUAUAGACAUGGACUGAGAACUUGUUCAAAGAAAGUGAAAGUUGACUUACAACAAUGGCUUUAGUGGCGGACUGGUGAGUAACACGUAAGCAACCUGCCUAUCAGAGGGGAACAACAGUUAGAAAUGACUGCUAAUACCGCAUAUGCCUUAGCAACACAUGUUGCAAAAGGGAAAGGAGCAAUCCGCUGAUAGAUGGGCUUGCGUCUGAUUAGAUAGUUGGUGGGGUAACGGCCUACCAAGUCGACGAUCAGUAGCCGGACUGAGAGGUUGGACGGCCACAUUGGGACUGAGAUACGGCCCAGACUCCUACGGGAGGCAGCAGUCGGGAAUAUUGCGCAAUGGAGGAAACUCUGACGCAGUGACGCCGCGUGCAGGAAGAAGGUUUCCGGAUUGUAAACUGCUUUAGACAGGGAAGAACAAAGCCAGUACCUGUAGAAUAAGCUCCGGCUAACUACGUGCCAGCAGCCGCGGUAAUACGUAGGGAGCAAGCGUUAUCCGGAUUUAUUGGGUGUAAAGGGUGCGUAGACGGUAAUGCAAGUUAGUUGUGAAAUCCCUCGGCUUAACUGGGGAACUGCAACUAAAACUACAUUUCUUGAGUAUUGGAGGGGAAAGUGGAAUUCCUAGUGUAGCGGUGAAAUGCGUAGAUAUUAGGAGGAACACUGGUGGCGAAGGAGACUUUCUGGCCACUUACUGUCUUUGAGCCACGAAAGUG